AACGCGUGGGUAACCUACCCUGUACACACGGAUAACAUACCGACAGGAAUGCUAAUAUGGGAUAAUAUAUUUUAGCGGCAUCUCUUAUAUCUCUUAGGUGCGCUAGUACAGGCUGGACCCGCGUCUGCUUAGCUAGUUGGUAAGGUAAUGGCUUACGAAGGCGAAAGUAGACGACCUGAGAGGGUGAUCGGCAACAUGGGAACUGAGACA
This 210-nucleotide ribosomal RNA is filed under the name Clostridioides difficile. Its description in RNAcentral is "partial 16S ribosomal RNA". It matches the Rfam family "Bacterial small subunit ribosomal RNA", at positions 112 to 326 of the family's 1533-position model. The record is from RNAcentral. Lineage: Bacteria; Bacillati; Bacillota; Clostridia; Peptostreptococcales; Peptostreptococcaceae.